AUUCGUUUAUUUUGUUGUCGAUAACAAACUAUUUCCGUGAAUGGCCGACUGUCACUCAUAAACCACGUUUCGAGUAAAUUGCUUGCGAAUAGAGAACUGCAAAACAGUGGCGCGCAAAACAAAUACGAAAGCACAACCUAUAUACCAAAAUCUAAAGCAAAACUU
Long non-coding RNA from Rhagoletis pomonella (apple maggot), 165 nucleotides. RefSeq lists it as uncharacterized. The record is from RefSeq and is a predicted model, not a curated record. NCBI's taxonomy places the organism in Eukaryota, Metazoa, Arthropoda, Insecta, Diptera, Tephritidae. The transcript is spliced from 2 exons.